CACUAGCCACUUUAACUAUGCCACUUGGUUUACAUACUUAUCUCAUAUGUAUAUACUGUACUCGAUAUCAUCUACUGUAUCUUGCCUAUGCUGCUCUGUACCAUCACUCAUUCAUAUAUCCUUAUGUACAUAUUCUUUAUCCCCUUACACUGUGUAUAAGACAGUAGUUUUGGAAUUGUUAGUUAGAUUACUUGUUGGUUAUUACUGCAUUGUCGGAACUAGAAGCACAAGCAAUUCGCUACACUCGCAUUAACAUCUGCUAACCAUGUGUAUGUGACAAAUAAAAUUUGAUUUGAUUUGAUUUGAUUUGAAGCUACUCAAUACUGCCCCUACAGCCAUAAGAAGUUAAUGCAUUUAUUUAUUAAGAUCUUUAUUUAUUUAUUUUAGCAGUCUCAUUGAGACCAAGGAUUAUUUUGCAAACAUCUAAAUCACAGCAGCAUAGUAAAUACUCCAAGAAAAUAAACCAACCACAUUCCUUAGUAAAGAGGUACGCAACCAACUGUCUGAGUUGCUGAUGAUGUCGCCGUAGUCUAGGACCGGAAGAAACAGAGGAGAGGAAACAUGGGAACAAAUGCGCUCAAAUGACACAUUCCUUCUCCACUAGCACGUCAUCAGGCAAAUUACAUUGACCUGGAUGAGUUCAGAAGGUGAGGGGUUAGGGGGUCAACAUCAGGAGACCAGGCUUCUCAAAAGGGAGGUGGUGGUGACCUUUUCCCUCUUCUGCGGGAGAGAGACCGAGAGAAAGAGGCAGGGGUGGUGGCCUUCUCCCUCUCCUGUGGCAGGGGAGGUGUAUGAUUUCAGAAAACAUAGCAGGCAUCGUCUGAGCUCUCAGCAAUAGGACAUCUAUCUUCAUCUGAGCUCAUCUUCAUCAGUCGUCAAAAAUAUCCCCUUCUCCCAGAAUCAGCUUGUGGUAGCUGUUCCUGCUGUUGACUUGGUUUUGUGCCCACUGCCUAAAAGUCACAUAUAAAGCAGUAAAUUAUUUACAAUUCCAUUACACAAAAUAGUGUGGAGGGUAUUUGUAAAGCAAGACAAAAUGUUCGGUCCAAAAAUAGUAUAAACCUCAACUUCCUCUGAUCUUGCAGCUGUAGGGACAGUGCCUCCAGGGAUCCUACUGCUCUUUGUAGGCUCCCCUAGUGCCUCCUCUCCUGCACCAGGACCUUCUCUUCCUCCUGCAGUCUGUUCACCAUCAGUCUGUCGAAGAUUCUUUUUUAUUUUUUUUGUAAAUCAAAAAGGCAAUGUAACCUAUUUAACUGGGCAACGAAGUUAAGAACAAAUUCUUAUUUACAAUGGCAUCCUACACCGGCAACGCUGGGCCAGUUGUGCACCACCCUAUGGGACUCCCAAUUAUGGCCAGUUGUGCACCACCCUAUGGGACUCCCAAUCAUGGCCAGUUGUGCACCACCCUAUGGGACUCCCAAUCAUGGCCAGUUGUGCACCACCCUAUGGGACUCCCAAUCAUGGCCAGUUGUGCACCACCCUAUGGGACUCCCAAUCAUGGCCAGUUGUGCACCACCCUAUGGGCCUCCCAAUCAUGGCCAGUUGUGAUACAACUGGACUUGAACCAGGGUGUCUGUAGCGACACAUCUAGCACUGAGAUGCAGUGUCUUAGACCCCUGCUCCACUCUGGAGCCCCCAUAUAGCACUGAGAUGCAGUGUCUUAGACCCCUGCUCCACUCUGGAGCCCCCACAUAGCACUGAGAUGCAGUGUCUUAGACCCCUGCUCCACUCUGGAGCCCCCCACAUAGCACUGAGAUGCAGUGUCUUAGACCCCUGCUCCACUCUGGAGCCCCCCAUAUAGCACUGAGAUGCAGUGUCUUAGACCCCUGCUCCACUCUGGAGCCCCCCUCACAUAGCACUGAGAUGCAGUGUCUUAGACCCCUGCUCCACUCGGGAGCCCAGAUGGCUGUUGCCUGUGAGAUGUAAACUCACAGAGGUAUAUAACAGAACAACAGCAAUCAUUGUAUCCUAUGCUGAAGGUAAACAUUCAAUCACAAUAGAUACCUUCUGCAAUCAUGUUUCUUACUGGUGCCAAGACUCUCCCAUGGCCACACACAGUUGUCAGUAUUGAGCAGCUCCUCCACUGUUGGGAGCCUGAACUCCGUCUGCUGCUCGUGAAGUUGAACGAUGGCAGCUGUCAAGGCUGCUUGUUCUCAUCCAGUUCUCUCGUCAUCUCUUGUCCUCCUCUCGUCUGAAUAAAAAGGGUGAUUAGACAGACUGUCGAUUCAGAUAUAUUACAUGACUAUUAGUUAUAGAGCUACUAUAGAGGCACAAACAGAGUACAAAGCAAUCAACUGGUUUCUAAAGCAUUUGUUGUCAUGCGGUUAUAACAUUAUACAAAACAUGCAGAGAUGUGGCUCACAAGAUACUGUUUAUGGUCACGUCAUUUCUCAUUUAAUGAAAUGUUUUGCAUUAGAUCAAUUAAAAACAUAGGUCAUGUAUACAUUUGAUUAUAAACAUGGUAUAAUGUGUAUGAAUAAUGCAUUUUCUUUCACAAAUCAGUUUUACUGCUGGAUGAAUAUUGGUCAUGUUGUUGUUGGGGCUCUACCUGUCAAACGGUAGAGGAAGUGUUUCCUCCCACACUGAGGUAAAGACCUGUCUGUCCUGUCUGACUAUCCUGUCUAAUGGGAGAGGUAUUGUUCCCUCCCACACUGAGGUAAAGACCUGUCUGACUAUCCUGUCUAAUGGGAGAGGUAUUGUUCCCUCUGCUUCACACUGAGGUAAAGACCUGUCUGACUAUCCUGUCUAAUGGGAGAGGUAUUGUUCCCUCUGCUUCACACUGAGGUAAAGACCUGUCUGACUAUCCUGUCUAAUGGGAGAGGUAUUGUUCCCUCUGCUUCACACUGAGGUAAAGACCUGUCUGACUAUCCUGUCUAAUGGGAGAGGUAUUGUUCCCUCUGCUUCACACUGAGGUAAAGACCUGUCUGACUAUCCUGUCUAAUGGGAGAGGUAUUGUUCCCUCCUACACUAAGGUAAAGUUUUGUCUGUCCUGUCUGAAUAUCCUAUCCUAUCCUGUUAUUUCAUCCCAGUCUCCUCGUCUGAGUCUGCUCUUGGGUUUCCCCGUUCCACUCCGCGUAACAGAAAGUUAAUAUUCCGUGGAAACAUGUUGCUGAAUAUGAACAUUUCUAAGGAAGGAGGCAAAGGGUAACGGUCUAGUUUCAGUUCCUGAUAAGGAAGUGGAACCAGGACAAUGAGGGAUGUGGAACUCAACUCCAGAUAAGGUCAAACGUCGAAGAGAGAAGACACUGCUGGGAGGGGGCCACAGGGGCCCACCCUGAAAACUAUCUGUCAUUUCUUCACGUAUUUUUCUUAAAAUUGCAUUGUUGGUUAAGGGCUUGUAAGUAAGCAUUUCACUGUAAGGUGAAAUACACCUGUUGUAUUCAGCGCAUGUGACAUAACAUUUGGUUUGAUUUGACUACAGUCCUGUCCCAUACACACACACUUCCACACCCAUGAGGGCCCUAGAUUUAGACAGGCCAUGACUAUAGCAGUGAGAGGAACCUAUUGCGUUUCUGCCUAGCAACAGAGACGGAGUGUUUAUCUUAGACAUGCAAGGUGUCAACUCCUCCUAGUCAGAAGGUAUGCUUGUGGGUAGAAUAAACUCGGUUUGAGCUUUUUUGGUUGUCCGUUUGAGUUUUUGCUCUAUUUGUUCAGAACCUAACAUAAUGUACCUUCAGGCCACUGUAGCACCCCAGCAACCCACUCCAGAAGCACAGUGUCAUUGAUGUCCAACUCUGCUUUGCUUCAAGGAGGCUGGUCUCCUCCUUCAGUCUUCUGACGUUCUGAAAAUAUACAAUUUAAGCUAAGGAAUAACAUAGGUGACAUUUUUUACUUUAAUGUAUACAGUCAUCUUGAUGUUUUCCUGCAUCAAGAUGACUAAUAAAGAGAAACCUGAGCCAGGAUUUCAGAAAAAAAAGAUCAGACAUGUAGAAAUAGAUACACAAGAAUAAAACAGUAGAUACAGGUAGGUAAAAAUAAAAAAGAUUUGAAAAAAAAAUACCUUCACAUGUCUUUUUGCCAACAUCCAUGUUGGUGAACUUCCUCUUAUUCCAGCCCACUGCCAGUGGUGUGAAUGUCUGUCUGUACUGUUAGAAAAACAUCUUCAGUCAGCUAUUCUAAUAAUGUACUACUGUGUGCCUGACUAAUCAACAUAAAGACAGUCAAGUUAAGGGAAUUAUGUUGUAAUCCUCAACUUUCUUCAGGAUUAGUUAUGUUAUCAUAAUGCACAGCCUUGGACAUGCACUUUGUCGUGACAGCAGCUCUGGAUAUAAAACUAUUCACCUGAUGGACAACUCCCCCGGUUGUGGUGCCGGCACCA
Oncorhynchus tshawytscha (Chinook salmon) is the source of this 4315-nucleotide long non-coding RNA. NCBI's taxonomy places the organism in Eukaryota, Metazoa, Chordata, Actinopteri, Salmoniformes, Salmonidae. The record is from Ensembl.